AGAAUUGGGCAAAUUCCCCGGAGGUCAGUUCUUGGAUCUUAGCCAUCUGGCCUGCUCCUCAUGGAUAACACAUUGCUAAAAUGACUUCAUUUGUUCACGUCGUGGGGGGUGAUGAUUUCUGAUGCUAUUAAAGUUGUUUUCCUUCUAACAGGCAGGCAAUGCCUUUCCUUUGACACGCGAAGAUGGGACAGUCAGUGAAGUAUGACCUCUCAGAGGCAUGCAUGAACGUUGUGGUCAGUCAAGCUGUUCUUGGGAGAGGAAUUGAAAGAUCAUGAAAGGGCAUUAGAGGAAUGGAACAUGCUAAGUUUCCAUUAGGGGAAGGUAGGAGUUGCACAUUUGAACAAUGGUCUUUAAUCACUACUCCUGGCAGGGGAAUGAAGAGGAAACCAAUAAAUCUGUCCAAGUCAAGUUUGUCAAAGGCUUGCCAUCAUUAUCAAGGGAAAGAAUGGAUUAAACCCUGAAGUUACUCAGAUGCAAGCUAUUAUCAUCUCUUGAAAACAAAGUACAGCUGAAUUAGCAUCCUAUAAGUCCCUAGCCUUCCAGUACUUGGAAGAAGGAUGAGGAUGAUGAUAACAGAAACACUCUCACCUUUUUUUACAAGUAAGUUUUACAUCUCUUCCCCAGUCCCAUGCAGCUGAAUCUUACCUUGUAACCAAGAACAGUUGAGCAAAAACAACCAAAACAGUGACUCAUCUCAUAAUAAACGCAAUGGUCUAUCCUUGUACUUUGUUGCA
Molecule: long non-coding RNA, 734 nt
Filed under: Monodelphis domestica (gray short-tailed opossum)
Lineage: Eukaryota; Metazoa; Chordata; Mammalia; Didelphimorphia; Didelphidae
Description: lncRNA (ENSMODG00000041025.1)
Source: RNAcentral